Molecule: non-coding RNA, 26 nt
Filed under: Callithrix jacchus (white-tufted-ear marmoset)
Lineage: Eukaryota; Metazoa; Chordata; Mammalia; Primates; Cebidae
Also listed under: 2 other names
Source: RNAcentral
UGAGAUGCUGAAGAAGGGGUGGGAUG